AUGAAGCUUGUUCAGAAUUCUUUUCUCUACAAUAUAUCCAAAAAUAGUCGCAGUCUAACAAGUGUAGCUUUCUCGGCAGUGGUACACCUGAAACAAGCUUUUGGUAGUUUUCAAGUGUUGUUUGAAUUGUUUAUUUCUCUUUGGAAGCUUCACGUAGCUUUCGCACCAAUAUUAAGGUAAAGUUUUAAGAUGCUUAGAUUUCUGGAAAUUUGUGUCUGAGUUGUUGGCCGAAGCCGAAUUUGAAAGUGGAAGUACCAAAAGAUAAUUUAAAAUAAGGGGUAAAUUACUCAAAUAGUCCUCAAACUUGUACGCAAUUUACAUUUUGGUCUAUAAAUUAAAUUAUAAGUCCAAAUGGUACAUAAACUCUAUUUUAAUCGCUCAUUUGAUCCAAUCGUUACAUUUUCUGUUAAAUGUAACCAAAUUUUAGGGGUAAAUACGACUUUUCAUAAUUAACAAAGAAAAUAGGGUUAAAAUAAAUACAAAAUUAGAAAAUAAUUGAAGAAAAAGAGAGGAAAAAAUCAUGAGACCCAAACCCCCUCCCUUCCAUUUCUUCUCUCUUACUCCAAUUACGGAGUUUUUAUUUUAUUUUUUAUUAUUUUUUUAUUUUAACGUACGAAAUGACCAAUUUGCCCUCAUAUUUAACAGCAAUAUUGACAUAAUGUAGCGGUUGGAUCAAAUGGGCGAUUAAAAUAGAAUUUAUGUACCAUUUGGACUAAUAUUUUAAUUUAGGGACCAAAAUGUAAAUCGCGUAUAAGUUUGAGGACCAUUUGAGUAAUUUACCCUUAAAAUAAGUAUAUGUAAAGUGAAAAUAAAGGAAAAUGUAAGGACCAAAGUGAAAUUCUGGAUAAGUCUGAAGACUGAAAUGUAUUGGAAAAAGUAUAGGCGCCAAAGUGAAAAUAAAGGAAAGUAUAAGGACAAAAGUGAAAUUAUUGACAAGUAUAAGGACUAAAGUGCAAUUAAAGCUAGUUGUAAUGACGGAAUUGCAAAUAAGGGUUUUUAGUAACAUUUUUGAAAUGUUGGCUUAGGAAUCAGUUACCCAAGCAAGAACAAUUUGAGUUCAAAGGUGUAGAAUUCAAGUGA
This 1080-nucleotide long non-coding RNA is filed under the name Prunus dulcis (almond). Its description in RNAcentral is "sRNA ncRNA". The record is from RNAcentral. Lineage: Eukaryota; Viridiplantae; Streptophyta; Magnoliopsida; Rosales; Rosaceae.